AACGCACCUUGCACUCUUUGGUAUUCCGAAGAGUAUGUCUGUUUGAGUGCCACGAAACCCUCGACCCCGCCUGUCUUGUAAUGGGACUGUGCUGUGGGCUCGGAUAAUGGCUGCUGCUGGCUUUACACCGGCUCGGCUGAAAUACAAGAGCAACCCUGUUUGAAAUAAGCGGCUUGACUCAGCGUAAUAACUAUUUCGCUGAGGACGCUUCCUUUCAAUCGAUAAGUGGUGCUUCUAAUUCGUACUCACAUCUUUAGGAUGUGGCCUCAAAUCAGGCAGGGCUACCCGCUGAACUUAA
Molecule: unclassified non-coding RNA, 298 nt
Filed under: Cladophialophora sp.
Lineage: Eukaryota; Fungi; Ascomycota; Eurotiomycetes; Chaetothyriales; Herpotrichiellaceae
Also listed under: 1 other name
Description: partial contains 5.8S ribosomal RNA, internal transcribed spacer 2, and large subunit ribosomal RNA
Source: RNAcentral